GACGAACGCUGGCGGCGUGCUUAACACAUGCAAGUCGAACGGAAAGGCCCUGCUUUUGUGGGGUGCUCGAGUGGCGAACGGGUGAGUAACACGUGAGUAACCUGCCCUUGACUUUGGGAUAACUUCAGGAAACUGGGGCUAAUACCGGAUAGGAGCUCCUGCUGCAUGGUGGGGGUUGGAAAGUUUCGGCGGUUGGGGAUGGACUCGCGGCUUAUCAGCUUGUUGGUGGGGUAGUGGCUUACCAAGGCUUUGACGGGUAGCCGGCCUGAGAGGGUGACCGGCCACAUUGGGACUGAGAUACGGCCCAGACUCCUACGGGAGGCAGCAGUGGGGAAUAUUGCACAAUGGGCGGAAGCCUGAUGCAGCAACGCCGCGUGCGGGAUGACGGCCUUCGGGCUGUAAACCGCUUUCGCCUGUGACGAAGCGUGAGUGACGGUAAUGGGUAAAGAAGCACCGGCUAACUACGUGCCAGCAGCCGCGGUGAUACGUAGGGUGCGAGCGUUGUCCGGAUUUAUUGGGCGUAAAGGGCUCGUAGGUGGUUGAUCGCGUCGGAAGUGUAAUCUUGGGGCUUAACCCUGAGCGUGCUUUCGAUACGGGUUGACUUGAGGAAGGUAGGGGAGAAUGGAAUUCCUGGUGGAGCGGUGGAAUGCGCAGAUAUCAGGAGGAACACCAGUGGCGAAGGCGGUUCUCUGGGCCUUUCCUGACGCUGAGGAGCGAAAGCGUGGGGAGCGAACAGGCUUAGAUACCCUGGUAGUCCACGCUGUAAACGGUGGGUACUAGGUGUGGGGUCCAUUCCACGGGUUCCGUGCCGUAGCUAACGCUUUAAGUACCCCGCCUGGGGAGUACGGCCGCAAGGCUAAAACUCAAAGGAAUUGACGGGGCCCCGCACAAGCGGCGGAGCAUGCGGAUUAAUUCGAUGCAACGCGUAGAACCUUACCUGGGUUUGACAUGGAUCGGGAGCGCUCAGAGAUGGGUGUGCCUCUUUUGGGGUCGGUUCACAGGUGGUGCAUGGCUGUCGUCAGCUCGUGUCGUGAGAUGUUGGGUUAAGUCCCGCAACGAGCGCAACCCUUGUUCACUGUUGCCAGCACGUUAUGGUGGGGACUCAGUGGAGACCGCCGGGGCCAACUCGGAGGAAGGUGGGGAUGACGUCAAGUCAUCAUGCCCCUUAUGUCCAGGGCUUCACGCAUGCUACAAUGGCUGGUACAGAGAGUGGCGAGCCUGUGAGGGUGAGCGAAUCUCGGAAAGCCGGUCUCAGUUCGGAUUGGGGUCUGCAACUCGACCUCAUGAAGUCGGAGUCGCUAGUAAUCGCAGAUCAGCAACGCUGCGGUGAAUACGUUCCCGGG
This 1343-nucleotide ribosomal RNA is filed under the name uncultured bacterium. RNAcentral's name for it is "16S ribosomal RNA". It matches the Rfam family "Bacterial small subunit ribosomal RNA", at positions 28 to 1378 of the family's 1533-position model. The record is from RNAcentral.